UGAACAUUGAGCCUUGAUGUGUAGGAUAGGUGGGAGGCUUUGAAGCGUGGACGCCAGUCUGCGUGGAGCCGGCCUUGAAAUACCACCCUUUAAUGUUUGAUGUUCUAACGUGGACCCGUGAUCCGGGUUGCGGACAGUGUCUGGUGGGUAGUUUGACUGGGGCGGUCUCCUCCUAAAGAGUAACGGAGGAGCACGAAGGUUGGCUAAUCCUGGUCGGACAUCAGGAGGUUAGUGCAAUGGCAUAAGCCAGCUUGACUGCGAGCGUGACGGCGCGAGCAGGUGCGAAAGCAGGUCAUAGUGAUCCGGUGGUUCUGAAUGGAAGGGCCAUCGCUCAACGGAUAAAAGGUACUCCGGGGAUAACAGGCUGAUACCGCCCAAGAGUUCAUAUCGACGGCGGUGUUUGGCACCUCGAUGUCGGCUCAUCACAUCCUGGGGCUGAAGUAGGUCCCAAGGGUAUGGCUGUUCGCCAUUUAAAGUGGUACGCGAGCUGGGUUUAGAACGUCGUGAGACAGUUCGGUCCCUAUCUGCCGUGGGCGCUGGAGAACUGAGGGGGGCUGCUCCUAGUACGAGAGGACCGGAGUGGACGCAUCACUGGUGUUCGGGUUGUCAUGCCAAUGGCACUGCCCGGUAGCUAAAUGCGGAAGAGAUAAGUGCUGAAAGCAUCUAAGCACGAAACUUGCCCCGA
RNAcentral lists this ribosomal RNA (685 nucleotides) under Salmonella enterica subsp. enterica serovar Derby. RNAcentral's name for it is "partial 23S ribosomal RNA". It matches the Rfam family "Bacterial large subunit ribosomal RNA", at positions 2118 to 2802 of the family's 2925-position model. Lineage: Bacteria; Pseudomonadati; Pseudomonadota; Gammaproteobacteria; Enterobacterales; Enterobacteriaceae. RNAcentral also lists the same sequence under 1 other name. The record is from RNAcentral.